GAUGAACGCUGGCGGCGUGCUUAACACAUGCAAGUCGAACGAAGCGCUUAAACGGAUUUCUUCGGAAUGAAGUUUUUGCGACUGAGUGGCGGACGGGUGAGUAACGCGUGGGUAACCUGCCUCAUACAGGGGGAUAACAGUUAGAAAUGACUGCUAAUACCGCAUAACAACACUAGACGCAUGUCUAGAGUUUGAAAGAUGGUUCUGCUAUCACUCUUGGAUGGACCUGCGGUGCAUUAGCUAAUUGGUAAGGUAACGGCUUACCAAGGCAAUGAUGCAUAGCCGAGUUGAGAGACUGAUCGGCCACAUUGGGACUGAGACACGGCCCAA
RNAcentral lists this ribosomal RNA (330 nucleotides) under uncultured bacterium. RNAcentral's name for it is "bacterial SSU rRNA". It matches the Rfam family "Bacterial small subunit ribosomal RNA", at positions 28 to 334 of the family's 1533-position model. The record is from RNAcentral.